AAAUUGAAGAGUUUGAUCAUGGCUCAGAUUGAACGCUGGCGGCAGGCCUAACACAUGCAAGUCGAACGGUAACAGGAAGCAGCUUGCUGCUUUGCUGACGAGUGGCGGACGGGUGAGUAAUGUCUGGGAAACUGCCUGAUGGAGGGGGAUAACUACUGGAAACGGUAGCUAAUACCGCAUAACGUCGCAAGACCAAAGAGGGGGACCUUCGGGCCUCUUGCCAUCGGAUGUGCCCAGAUGGGAUUAGCUUGUUGGUGGGGUAACGGCUCACCAA
This 274-nucleotide ribosomal RNA is filed under the name Escherichia coli. RNAcentral describes it as "partial 16S ribosomal RNA". It matches the Rfam family "Bacterial small subunit ribosomal RNA", at positions 1 to 271 of the family's 1533-position model. Lineage: Bacteria; Pseudomonadati; Pseudomonadota; Gammaproteobacteria; Enterobacterales; Enterobacteriaceae. RNAcentral also lists the same sequence under 1 other name. The record is from RNAcentral.